AAGUCGUAACAAGGUUUCCGUAGGUGAACCUGCGGAAGGAUCAUUAUUGAAAUAAACCUGAUGAGUUGCUGCUGGUUCUCUAGGGAGCAUGUGCACACUUGUCGUCUUUAUAUUUCCACCUUGUGCACCUUUUGUAGACCUGGAUAUCUCUCUGAAUGCACACAAGCAUUUGGGUUUGAGGGGUUGACUUUUUUGGUCUCCCUUUAUAUUUCCAGGCCUAUGUUUCUUUCAUAUACCCCACUUGUGUUAUAGAAUGUAAUAAAAUGGGCCUUUGUGCCUGUAAAGCUAUACAACUUUCAGCAACGGAUCUCUUGGCUCUC
Molecule: unclassified non-coding RNA, 320 nt
Filed under: Cortinarius caperatus
Lineage: Eukaryota; Fungi; Basidiomycota; Agaricomycetes; Agaricales; Cortinariaceae
Description: partial internal transcribed spacer region
Rfam family: Eukaryotic small subunit ribosomal RNA (bases 1-46)
Source: RNAcentral